This 71-nucleotide transfer RNA is filed under the name Bos taurus (domestic cattle). It matches the Rfam family "tRNA". From Rfam's summary of the family: Transfer RNA (tRNA) molecules are approximately 80 nucleotides in length. Their secondary structure includes four short double-helical elements and three loops (D, anti-codon, and T loops). The record is from Rfam by way of RNAcentral. Lineage: Eukaryota; Metazoa; Chordata; Mammalia; Artiodactyla; Bovidae. RNAcentral also lists the same sequence under 4 other names.
CCCUGGUGGCUCAGAUGGUAAAAAGUCUGCCUGCAGUGCAGAAGACCCAGGUUCAAUCCCUGGAUCAGGAA